This 253-nucleotide ribosomal RNA is filed under the name uncultured prokaryote. RNAcentral's name for it is "partial 16S ribosomal RNA". It matches the Rfam family "Bacterial small subunit ribosomal RNA", at positions 524 to 776 of the family's 1533-position model. The record is from RNAcentral.
UACGUAGGGUGCGAGCGUUGUCCGGAAUUAUUGGGCGUAAAGAGCUCGUAGGCGGUCUGUCACGUCGGAUGUGAAAACUCGGGGCUCAACCCCGAGCCUGCAUUCGAUACGGGCAGACUAGAGUUCGGUAGGGGAGACUGGAAUUCCUGGUGUAGCGGUGAAGUGCGUAGAUAUCAGGAGGAACACCGGCGGCGAAGGCGGCCCUCUGGACCGUUGCUGACGCUGAGACGCGAAAGCGUGGGGAGCAAACAGG